This 506-nucleotide ribosomal RNA is filed under the name uncultured bacterium. Its description in RNAcentral is "partial 16S ribosomal RNA". It matches the Rfam family "Bacterial small subunit ribosomal RNA", at positions 29 to 523 of the family's 1533-position model. The record is from RNAcentral.
AGUGAACGCUGGCGGUAGGCCUAACACAUGCAAGUCGAACGGCAGCACAGGAGAGCUUGCUCUCUGGGUGGCGAGUGGCGGACGGGUGAGGAAUACAUCGGAAUCUACUUUUUCGUGGGGGAUAACGUAGGGAAACUUACGCUAAUACCGCAUACGACCUACGGGUGAAAGCAGGGGAUCUUCGGACCUUGCGCGAUUGAAUGAGCCGAUGUCGGAUUAGCUAGUUGGCGGGGUAAAGGCCCACCAAGGCGACGGUCCGUAGCUGGUCUGAGAGGAUGAUCAGCCACACUGGAACUGAGACACGGUCCAGACUCCUACGGGAGGCAGCAGUGGGGAAUAUUGGACAAUGGGCGCAAGCCUGAUCCAGCCAUACCGCGUGGGUGAAGAAGGCCUUCGGGUUGUAAAGCCCUUUUGUUGGGAAAGAAAUCCAGCUGGCUAAUACCCGGUUGGGAUGACGGUACCCAAAGAAUAAGCACCGGCUAACUUCGUGCCAGCCGCCGCAGUAA